RNAcentral lists this transfer RNA (58 nucleotides) under Cricetulus griseus (Chinese hamster). The record is from Rfam by way of RNAcentral. Lineage: Eukaryota; Metazoa; Chordata; Mammalia; Rodentia; Cricetidae.
UGGCUCAGUGGUUAAGAGCACUGGCUGCUCUUCCAGAGGACCUGGGUUCCAUUCCCAG